Crotalus tigris (Tiger rattlesnake) is the source of this 4076-nucleotide long non-coding RNA. RefSeq lists it as uncharacterized. NCBI's taxonomy places the organism in Eukaryota, Metazoa, Chordata, Lepidosauria, Squamata, Viperidae. The transcript has 2 exons. The record is from RefSeq and is a predicted model, not a curated record.
CCUUAUUAACACAACAUGUGGUUUAUUUUCUGGCAGCACUUCUGCCACAAAUUUGGCGAUGGAAACACUUUGCCCUUGAUGUUUUUUACAGUGGUUCACUGUGAUGGAAACCAGAGGCUUGCAAAGCAGAUUUGAACCCCAAACAGGCUCGGGGUUCGGGCAGUUGCAUUCCAGGAAGGAGCUUUUGCUUUAAAAGAAGGAGGGGGUCAAAAGCCAAUUUCCUCAGAAAUACUUUGGGGAGGAAGUGGGGAAGGUUGGCAGGUCAAGGCAAGUACAUGGCCAAAGGCGCUCUCAAUUGCAAUCUCUUUCACAGGAGUAACUUUUCUUUGGAAUCGGAUGCCCAACUUGUAAAAUCCCCCCUAGCCAGAAUGUGCAUCUUCCUUUGAAUGGCUACCUGUAGCGCCUCUGCUCAGAAGAGGACGGGGAAGGGCCGUGCAUCUGGAUCUGACCCCUUCUAAGUGGCUGCAGGGUGUCGUUGCUCACCUCCUCAGCGAGCAGCAGUCUCUGCAGAUGACCCGGCCGUGCGCUGGACGCAUGCCGGAAGCCGUGUGAAUCCCAGCUGUGCUACAGACAGUCUGGAUGGCUCCUGCGCUCCGGGACUCACGCGGCAGGGAGAUUCUCAGUCAUCCAGUCAGAGCUGAAGAAGUUCUUGGAUGAGAAGUGAAACGUCUUCAAAAGAAACACAAGAAAGUCCAGUUGCGUCCUGAAAAAGCACCUUUGCGAUAACCAUGACCCGGAUGACUGAGAAUCUCCAUAGAAAUUUAGCUACGCCCUUUGGGAUGAACACCCUUAGAAUGGUGAGAGAGCCUGAAUGGAUUUUGAGAAAAUAUUGCAGACUACAGGAACCAUUUGUGCUUCAGUUUGAGAUUCAGACAGCACAGACCCAUCCCCAAUAGCCUGUGUGCCUGUUUUCAACAGCGAAGGGACCCAGGGCAGAAAACUAGGAAGUUCCUCCAGCACUUCUCAGGUUAUCCCGAGGACACAGAGGUAAACCUCCAAAAUGGUUUCAGUGACUCUAAAAUCAAAUCCUUCCACUCCCCACCAUCUAGUCAGAGCUGAAGAAGUUUCUUGGAUAAGAAGCGAAACGUCUUCAAAAGAAACACAAGAAAGUCCAGUGGCCUCUUGAAAAGGGCAUCUUUGAGGCACUCAGCUUGUUGCGAAAAGCUGCUUUGGGCGAUUUCCCUGAUUGUGAAAGGAUUGUUAUUUUAAGGGAGACUUUUUCUUAUUUUGGGGAGACUGCUCCCCAGGUGAUUUUCUUUUUGAGGGAGGGGGGGCUCCCUACACGUGUCUGCUUCCACAUUAAUCCAUGCUGGAUCCUUUUUUCCUCCUAACCAACCUGCUCUGCUCUGUUUCUUCCCUAUGGAUGGCAAUGGCAACAAUAGAGGCAUUCAGGAUCAAAUAGGUUUCAUUUCAGGUGUAUUUCCGAUUUCAUACCUAACAUUUCCAGAGUGGCCAGAAGCAAAUAUUAUUAGUGUCAACAAUUACUGCAUUUGUGAAUAAAAUCGUAGUGGUAGAAUAAGGGGUGCGUGCAGCAGCAAGGAGAAAAAAUUUUUCAACUGAAAUGCUAAAAGGGAUUCCGGGACCAAAUUCGUAGUUAAAUUUCAUGGGAAAGAUGGUUUUGGUUGCUGUUAUAAACAUAGUUCGUCUCCAGCGAUGAAAAUUCACAAAAUUAAUUUUGCUCAAAUAAUGGGUGCGUGCAGCAGCGAGGCCAAAAAUUUUUUCAACCAAAAUGCUAAAACAUAGACCAAGACAAGCUUCUUGUUUAAAUUUCAUGAAUAAUAUGUUCUUGUUUGUUUUUUAAAAAAGUCAAACAUAUUUAGUCUGCAGCGACAAUUCUAAAAUUUGUUUUCUCAAGAUGAGGGUUGCUGCUGGCCAAAAUAUUUUUCAACUUGUUUGCUUUUUUAAAAAAAUCAACCAUUUCUUGUCUCCAGCGACGACAAUUUGGAAAAUUUCUGUUCCUGGGAUAAGGGGUGCGUAUGGCCCUGAGGCCAAAAUGUUUUUCAACUGAAAUGCUAAAGGAUGCUGGGACGAUUGGUGGUUAAAUUUCAUGGAUAAAAUGUUUGCUUUUUAAAAAAGUGAAACAUAAUUCGUCUCCAGCGAUGAAAUUUCAUAAAAUUUGUUUGCCAAGGACACGUGAGGUAGGGAGGCCAAUAAUUUUUUCAACUCAGGUGCUAAAACAGAUGCAGGAACUCUACUCUUUCUGUAGAGGAUAAACCAGGAUUUGGUCCAAACCUGGCAACUUUUAAACUUGGCUGACUGGAAAAUCUGGGAGUUGAAGUCCACAGAUCUGAAAGUUGUCAAGUUGGACACCCCAGGCAUACACUAUUUUCCCAAACAAUUCUGUGUGCUUUUAAGCAUGAAGUAAGAAAUUAUUUAAAAUAUAAAUGCUUGAAGUUGCAAACCAAAAACACCCCUGGAAUGCUAAGUAACUGAAAACGCCACUAGCAAUAAAAAAUUUAGUAUCAACAUGUAUUUAAAUGCCCUUUGGGCAUAUGACUAAGUUUUGCAGGAGGGGAGAAAAAAGGGUUGUUCACACAUUACAACUUUUGUGACCUCUGAUGCUGACACCCCCAUUCCAUCCCCAGGAAAACCACAGCUAACACCAAGUAGGGCUUGAACUAUUGUAUGAGUUCUGGAAAGGCUGCAGAUCAAACACCAUGUCCGGUGGGGGUGAUUCACAACUAGUGCAAAAUCUGGGACAGCCUGAUCAUUUUGCACACUCUUUUUUAAAAAAGCACUUGUAUGUUAAGACAAAGGCUAAUAUCCCUUCCAAGAAGUGCAAAAGCUUUGAUAAGCAAAGCUAUACUUCAUAUUACAUGCAGUGGGGCUGAGGACUACAGCACUUUAGAAAUAACGAAUGCGGAGUAUGCUGCAUUAAUUAAUUUCCAUUGGGCUGCCACCUAAUUAAACAAAUCUUUUAUUAACUGUAUUAACUGUGUAUUGACUACUCAAUCACAACUGCAUACAUUUGCAUAUGAAUGACAGUUCUGAAGAAAACCAUUCUUUGGUUCUUGAACAACGGAUGUCUUUAUACCACAGCUGGGCUUUCUCAAUAUGAAAGCUCUCAAAAUUUCCCAAUUUUUUCACAUGAAAAAGAACUGGCUCUCUUUUGGUUCCUUUCCUGAUUAAAUGUUGCAAUUACAAGAAGAUUCCAAAUUGUUCAUGUUUCUCAAUAAGGUGAAGACAGUGUCAGAUGAAUGGAGAGCCAUAUAGCAGGUAGGAGAGUCCAGGAUCAAUAAUGAGAUAAACAGCUUAAAAUAACCGAGAAGUAUAAAAACAAGUUUGCCAGCUUGCCCUGAGUAGAAAUUUUGAAAAAUAUAAAAUCUGGAUUUUCAGCGGUACAACCAUAAACAUGAUUAAGAAGUCUGAGAUGGCACGCCAAGUUCAGUAAAGCAGGUUCACGCUAUCCCAAUUAAUUGCUCAAGUGUAUUUUAAAUUCAUGCUGGUAAAAGUUAAAAUCGGUUGGGAAUGUAGAAUAAUGCAGACGUUUCACUACUGAAUUUAGUAGACAAUUUUACUGAUUUGUUUCACGUUGCCUUUAAAAUUGAUACCAGCUCUGAGGCCCAUCCCAGUUUUAGUGCAUUUUUAAAAUAAUAGGCAUACAUAAAAAUUUUACAUAAAAAACUCCUGAUGAGACAUGCCCCGGUGCCCAGUAGAGCAGAGCAUCAGAAUCCUCCCUUUAGAAUAAUCAACAUGAUUUUGCUCAUUUGGACUGGACUCAAGCAAGGACAAGUUGGGUGGCUGCAUAAGUGAGGCCCCCACCUCCAGGUUCCCUGAAAUGCAUAGGAUCAUUCAGCGUGAGCUCCCCACUGUUCUGAGAAGCUCACAUGAAUCAAUGAGAUGUCCAAGAAACAGACGCAGCAGUGAUCCCGCCCGAUCACCAUCUAAAAAAUUUCUGGCUGGUGACAGCUUUCCACAAGUAGCCCACCAAAGGUCUGAAGGUGUGAACUAGCUGGAGUUACAAGUUCAGCUUCUUUCUGCUGAGAGCAAGGUGGCAAAGACAUUUUUCUCUUUAAAACCUGGUUAAGAGAUUAAGCAGAAUGGAAGUAAAAUAUAUCUUCCCGUAAUAAACAAAA